AGAGAUUCUGCUAAACAUGCCCGAAUGCUCCAAUUAACUAAAUCAUAGCAUCUCUCACUCAAUCCUAACUAGUUCACUUUGCUGCUCAAAAUAACCAUAAAAGGGGAACUCAGAAAACAACCCAAAACAUGUUUAAAAUGAUGCAAAAAGAAACAUACCCAUGAAUUGAUCAUAAAAGAAAUUCUAUAAACAACUCAAAAUAGCCGAAAGAACGCAAAUAGAAACAUACCCAUGAACAUACCUAGUGUAGUACCACAAAGUGGAGUCUAGGGAGGGUAAAGUGUACGUAGACCUUACCCCUACGUCAUGAGUAGAGAGGUUGUUUCCGAUAUACCCUCGACUCCAGAAAAAAAAAACAGUCCAAAGCGUUCCAAAAGAAGUAAAGGAAGCGAAAGCAUAACAAAGCCUACUGAGCAGUAACUACAAUAAAUUUUAUGAUAAUCAAAGAACACGAAACAGCCAAAGUAAUCAGAAAUUGAAGGUAAGAAACUACAUAAGCAAUACUACAACUAUAGUAUGGACAGAUAGUGAGACAAUGCACUAUUAAUUACUAAUCUUCUAUGCCAAUCCAUGUCAUCUACAACCUCCCAUCUAAUAAAAUCAUGUCCUUGAUAAGUUGAAACCGUGUCAUAUCAUGUCUAAUCACUUCUCCCCCAAUACUUCUUCGGUCGACCUCUUCCUCUCCUGAAACCAUAACCACCCAUAUCCAACCCCUCACACCCAUACCCAUGAAGUAUUCAUCAGGAAAAAAACUCUUCAAACAACCCAAAAAAGGUUCAAAAUUUGCAAAAAGGAACAUACGGUAAUCAUCAGAAAAAACUCCAAACAAACCAAACAAGGUUCAAAAUUUGCAAAAAGGAAACAUACCCAUUAACCAAUCAUAAGAAGAAACUCCACAAACAACCCAAUAAACUUCAAAAAAGGAAACAUACCCAUAAGAGCAGCUUCAAGAAUUUGAUGAGCAAGAAGGAUUUGAUCAGUAGGAUUUACAGAAUCAGCAGGACGAGACUGCAAUUCCUUAAUAGAAUAAACAGUAUAAAUCAUGAUCACAAGAACAGUAGCUGCUACAGAUUUAACAAUCAACGGUCCACUGCCUCUUUUAACACGAUCAAGAGUCAUAAUUAUCAGUUUCCUCAAAGGGGUUCUAAACAGAAACAUCAAAAUCAACCCCAUUUCCAAGAACACCACCAUGAACAAAAGCUGAACUUGAGCUAACAUUUUGCAUACACCACCAAAUUAACUCCUUUUUUUUCUGUGAUUCAAAAAUUUCACCAAAAGGGGUUUUUCUUUACUGGUUAAGAAAGAUUUUUGUACAAGAAAGUUUGAUUAUUGGUGGAAAAGGGUGUUGAUUUUUUCAGAAAAAACGGUGAAUAGAGUGUACAGAUGGUGUUGAUUCUGUAUAUGCACUUGGUUUUUUGUGUCACGCGGCCUUUACGCCUGCAGAAGACUUGUAUGGAAAAAGACUAGCGUCGGCAAGACCUGUCCUUUUUCUUUCUUUUUUUAAUCUAAAAUUUGUAAUUUUAAAACAAAAUUUCAUAUUGGAAAACAUAUUUCAUUUUGUUCAAAGAUCUAAAUAUAUAUAUAUAAAAUUGGCAUGAUCAAACAUGCUCGAGAGUGUCAAAAUAUCUUUACACGUUAUUUCUAUCUCUCAUUACAUAGCACUCAUUUCUGGAUCAUAUUGACAAUAUUCUUAGCGUUGAGAAAAUUUCCACAUUCUUUCCAUCCAUUACUAAUAGCAUAUUCAAGAGUCUUCUUUAGUCAAUGAUAUUUUUGUGAUGUGAUUUUUCGAUAUAUUUUUUUUCAAAAGCUUUACAACACUCUCCGUAAUGACCCAAGGAAACAAUACAAAUAGUUUCACCAUGAUACAUACUAUUUUUUAGCAUUUAGGGGCCUUUCAAAAGGAAUUAGACGAUUUUCUCAAUUUGUCGUGUGUAUUAGUCAAUGAAGUUUUUGGUGAUAUGAUUUUUGAGUACUUUAUUUUCAAAACCUUUACAUGACCCUCUGUAAUGACAUAGGGAGACAAUACGUAUAGUCUCACCGUGAUCCACACCAUUAUUUUAGCAUUUAGGGGGACAAUCAACAGAAUUAGGCAAUUUUCGCGAUUUUUUCAUAUGUGUUAGUCAAUGAUUUUUUUGUUGACAUGGUUUCAGACACUUUUUACCAGAAUCUUUACAGACCCCUGUAGUGACCUUGGGGGAACAAUACAUAUAGUCUCACUAUGAUCCACGUCAUUUUUUUUAGCAUUGAGGGGCCACUUAACAGGAAUUAAGUGAUUUCUUAAUUUUUCGUGUGGUAGUUGAUGAAUUUUUCGGUAAUAUGAUUUUUCAAUACUUUUUUUCCAAAACAUUUACAGGAUCAUCCGUAAUGAUCGAGGGGACAAUAAUUAUAGUCUCACCAUGAUUCAUGUCAUUUUUUAGCAUCUAGGGGUCACCCAACAUGCAUUAAGCGAUUUUCUCAAUUUUUCGUGUGUGUUAGUAGUCAAUGAAUUCUUUGGUGAUAUGAUUUCUAGGCAUUUGUUUUCCAAAUCUUUACAAGACCCUAUGUAAUUACCUGGGGGAACAAUACGUACAGCCUGACCAUGAUUUACUCUAUCAUUUUAGCAUUUAAGGACCACUCAACAGGAAUUAAGCGAUUUUCUCAAUGUUUUAUGUGUGUUGGUCAAUAAAUUUUUUGGUGAUAUAUAUGAUUUUUUAGCACCUUUUUUCUAAAAUCAUUGCAUGACCCUCCGUAACUACCUAGGAAACAAUAUGUAUAGCCUCACCAUGAUUCAUAUCCCUAUUUUUUGUUUUAGGGGUCACUCAAUAGGAAGUAAGCGAUUUUCUAUGUACUUCAUGUGUGUUAAAGAAAAUCUUUACAAAACCCUACGUCAUGAUCUGGGGUAAAAUACGUGUAGAAUCACCUUGAUCCACGUCGUUUUUUAACAUUUAGGGUCGCUCAACAUAAAUUAGACGAUUUUCUCAGUUCUUUUGUGUGUUAGUCUAUGAAUUUUUUGAUGCUAUGGUUUUUGGGCACUUUUGCUCUAUACAUUUACAUGACCCUCCGUAAUAAUCUAAGGGAAUAAUACGUAUACCCUUACCAUGAUCAAUGUCAUUUUUUAGCAUUUAGGGGCCACUCAAUAGGAAUUAGACAUUUUUUUUUCAAUUCUUUUUGUGUUUUACUCAAUGAAUUUUUUGGUGAUAUGAUUUUCGAUUUUUUUAAAAAUCUUUACAGGACCAUCUGUAAUGACCUGUGAGAGAAAUACGAUAGUAUCACCAUGAUCCACACAAUUUUCUAGCAUUUAGGUGUCACUCGACAGGAAUAGACAAUUUUCUCAAUUUUUCAUGUGUCAGUCAAUGAAUUUUUUGGUGAUAUAAUUUUUGGGAACUUUUUUUCCCAUAAUCUUUACAAGACCCUCCAUAAUAAUCUGGAGAAACAAUAAGUAUAGCCUCACCACGGUUCACAUCAUUUAUUUUAACAUCUAGGGGCCACUCAGCAUGAAUUAGACAAUUUUCUUAUUUUAUUUCUUAUGUGUUGUUAGUAAUGGACUUUGAUGAUAUGGUUUAUGGAAAAAAAAAUUGCAAAAUAUUUUACAGGACCCUCUGUAAUGACCUGAGGAAACAAUACGUAUAGACUCACCAUGAUUCACAUCACUUUUUUAGCAUUUAAGGGAACUCAAUAAGAAUCAGACAAUUUUCUCAUUUUUCGUGACGUACAUGAAAUUUUUGGUGAUAUAAAUUUCGAGAACUUUUUUUGCAAAAAACUUUAUAGGAUCCUCCGUAAUGAUCUGGAAGAACAAUAUCUAUAACCUCACCAGGACUCACACUAUUUUUUUUAGCAUUUAGGGACCACUCUACAAGAUUAGGCGAUUUUCUCAUUUUUGUUUUUUGUGUUAGUUAAUCGAUCGAAAUUCAUAUCAUUCAAAUAUUUAUGGGCUAACACACACGAAAAAUUGAAAAAUUGACCUAAAUUUUUUUUUUUUAACUAUGUGUAUUAAGACAUCGUUAUGUGAUGGAGUUGGAUAACCAUACCACUUUAGAAGUCUUUUGGUUUGAAUUCAAGUUAUGAUGGGAUUAGUUAUGAAUGGGAUAAGUUAUGCUAAGAUUAUUUUUUAUUGAGUGUUUGGUUUGUUGUAUUCAAAAUAAUAAAUCUUAAGAACAACAUAUAAGUUUACAAAAAUACCCUUCAUGGAUGUGAAAAGUAAUGUAUAAAAAAUGUUUAAAGGGACAUUUUUGUCAUUUUAUCCCGGGAUAAGUUAUCCGGGGAUUACUAUACCACCCAUGGGAAGGGAUAACUUAUCCCGGUACUAAUUAUUAAUCCCGGAAUAAGUUAUUCCGGACUUGCCAACCAAACAACAAAUUAAGUGGCACUAUAAUUUAAUCCCAGAACUAUUUUAAGUUAUCCUUCACACCAAACGACCCCUAAAGAGUACAUAUUAUAAGUAUAAUUAUGGUGUAUAUCUGAAACACUACAACUUCCAACAAUAAUGUCUCUAUCUCUAAAGCUCAAAUCAACCAUCUUUGAGCCUUAAAUCAUCCCAACUAGAUUUAAAAAAAUGAAAGUACACCAUCCAAUUAAUUUUUCACCUCCAUUAAAACUUCAUGUAUACAAUUUUAACUAUAAAUAUUUGCUUUAAUGACCAAUGUGGGAUAAAAAUGAUUGAAAGUAGUCUUACAAUUGUUAUAUGUUCUUUUUGUGAAUGUUGUAUUGAAAAGCUUAUGUCAUUAUUUUAUGAGGACAUAUUUAGGCCAAUAUUAUAAUAACAAAUGUAUAUUUCACUCCUAUUGUUGAAGGAUAACAAAUUUGGACCAUUUCACAAGGUUGAUUAAUAUAUUUGAUCUUUUCCCUAAAUAUAAUAUAAUAUAUUUUUGAAUGAGUUAAUAUGUUGAAUUUAGCUCCUAGUUCUGGAAGGAUGUUUUACAGUUUCUAAAAUAAAAUUCAUAUAAUAAAAGUUACAUAGAAGUAUUAUUCCAAAUUGUUUUUAAAGUUUUAAAAAAAUUACAAUUAUAUAAAAAAAUAUUUUAAAAGUCGAAUCCAUAUAUAUUGUGUGAAACGUAUGGCUCAAAGACAUCUCUAACAAAAAAAUGAACGUGUUAUUCACAUAACUUUUUUUAACGUACUAAAAUAAAAUAGGGAAAAUUACGCGGAUAAGUAAAUAUAUACUAGUUAAUUAGCUAACAUAGCCAUAGUUUGAAUUAAUUACAGCUCGAAGCUUAAUUUUAGUUGUUAUUACGUCAUAUCUCUCCUCUCUCUUGCAUAUCUCCUCAUUUAUACAUAAACAAAUACAAAUUAUACAUAUACAUAUACAAUAUAUGACAGACAUACAAAUACAAUUAGCCUCUCUCCUCCCUCUCCCAAUCUCGCUCACCAUAUAUACAAAUACAUAUGUAUACCAGUUACAUAUACACGAUUAUAUUGCAGAUAUACAUAUUUAGUUCAUCUCUCUCCACUCUAUGCCCUCUCUCGCAUGCCUAUCUCCUCCCUCUCCCAAUCUUGCUCGCAUCUCUCCUCCCUUUCCCGGUCUCGCUCGCCAUAUAUAUAUCAUGUAUAUACAAUUAUUUGACAUAUAUACAUAUACAAUUUGUCUCUCCGCCCUCACUCACUCGCCUCUCUCCUCCCUCUAACACGUAGCUACGAAUCGUAAUUAGCAAACUAUAGCUAUAAAACAUAAUUAAGUUAUUAUUGAAUGGCUAUAAGCGAAAAUUUCCCAAUAAAAUAUCACGUAAACAAAAAAAAAUAUUACACAAUGCAAUACAUAAAAUUUAAUACUAAAUUACAUUAUGCUUCUCAUGAACUUUUGGCUUAUAAACACCAAUACAUGUUUAUGUGUAACACACAAGCAUAAGAACUCACAAGAACAAUAAGGGUGAAGUUUAUAAGGGAACUCAUUUAAUCAAAAGUUUUUUUCCAAUGUUACUUGAAUUCUUCAAAAGUGUUGUUCGUUGUAUGUCAAAUUCUCUAAAAAUAAUAACUUUUUAGAUAAUUUGGCACGAAUGUACAACAUUCUUGAAGAGUUUAAGUAAUAUAAUAUUUAAUUUUAUUUGAUUGGAUGAUUUAACUUGCCUAAUUUCCAUAAAAAUGACAUAAAUAAGGGCAUAAACUUUUGAACACUAUAAUCCAUGCUUAUUUUCUUUGAUCAUUCUUGCAGAUUGAAAAGAAGAAGAAAAACUUGGGCUUCAUGAUCUUCUAAAGUAAACACGAUUUCCUACAAGGAGAGGAAGAUUUCAUGUUAGAUAUUCUACGAUCGUUAAGACAUAUUCAAAAUUCAAAAUUUAAAAUUCAGUCAAUAUAUGUAAUGUUAUCAUUGUAAUACCAACUACAUUUUGUAAAAAAUCAAGAAAAUAAACAAUAUAUGUUUGGACAAAAAAAAAAAAGCUUUAGAGAUUAUUUAUUUAUAAUUUAAUUUUUUUUAAUGAAAAUUUUAACUCCAUCACUGAAUAAUAAGCAUAGAAUUUCUAGAGAAGAGAAAGAACAUAAUUGUGAAGAUUAAUUAUUAGAGAAACUAAAUCCUAGUGAUCAACCAAAUAUCAUGUAUAUUGAUUAGAUAAAAACCCAACAAUUAGUAUUUUUAAAUAAAUAAAAGAGACUGAGGAAAAAUACCUGAAAUAGCUCAUUGUUGGCAAUUGGAGAAUUAAACAUUUUUGGAAUAAUCAAUAUUGACACACACACACUAUAUAGCUUUAUUUAUAGCACCUUCAACUUGAAAAUGAAUUGAUUAAUAUUAGGACAAGUAAUACCUUUUUAUAGGUUCAUUGAACCUGGUCACUCCUCCAUUUGCACUUUAUGUAAGGUUUUAAGUUAUACAUUUUUAUACUGAUAAUUUUUUUAUUAUAAUUGGUAAAUUGUUUAUUUUUUAUAAUUAUAAAUUAUAUAUGUGUAUUUAUAAAUAUUUUCUGAAUAAUCUAAUAAGAUAAAAAUAUCUUACGAUAACGAUGUAUAUAAUUUAAAUUUAUUUUAAAUAUCAAGCCUACCUAAAAUAUCAUGCAUAUGUUAAUUCCCCUUUUGUUUUUUCCCCUCUCAUUUUUAACAUGAAAAGUGAGUCAUAGAGGGACCUUACAGACUGUAUGACCUAACUCUUUUCAAAAAGUUAAUUGGAAUAAUUAUUAAGUAAUGCUGACUCCAAUAUUUAAUUAUUUUUUGUAUUUAUUUUUAUUUGUUCAUUAUAUUUUAAAAAAUGUUAUUUUUAUUAUUAAAUUUGAGAAAUCAAGCGAUUUUUAUCACUUAAUAUUUCUAAUCAUGAAUUUUUAUAUUUAAAAGAGUGAUAUAAUAUAAUUGUCAUUCUAUUCAUUGCUCUUUAAGGAGUGUGCCAAAUCAAUCAUAGAUAAGUAAAAAUAGACGGAGGGGCUAUAUAUUUUUUUGUUGUUAAUGAAAUGACACUUUAAGCAUAAAAAUAACUUUCGGAGUAAAUUUGUUUCAAUAAGUGGAGUGAGAUAUUUUUGAGUCAUUUAUAUUGUACUAAAUAUAUUUUUUAUUCAAUAGAUGAAAGAAAGACAAAUUUAUUGCAAUACGUGAAAAUAAAGUAUUUUUAAUUAAAUAUGUAAUACGUUAAAGCUANNNNNNNNNNNNNNNNNNNNNNNNNNNNNNNNNNNNNNNNNNNNNNNNNNNNNNNNNNNNNNNNNNNNNNNNNNNNNNNNNNNNNNNNNNNNNNNNNNNNNNNNNNNNNNNNNNNNNNNNNNNNNNNNNNNNNNNNNNNNNNNNNNNNNNNNNNNNNNNNNNNNNNNNNNNNNNNNNNNNNNNNNNNNNNNNNNNNNNNNNNNNNNNNNNNNNNNNNNNNNNNNNNNNNNNNNNNNNNNNNNNNNNNNNNNNNNNNNNNNNNNNNNNNNNNNNNNNNNNNNNNNNNNNNNNNNNNNNNNNNNNNNNNNNNNNNNNNNNNNNNNNNNNNNNNNNNNNNNNNNNNNNNNNNNNNNNNNNNNNAUAUAUAUAUAUAUAUAUAUAUAUAUAUAUAUAUAUAUAUAUAUAUAUAUAUAUAUAUAUAUAUAUAUAUAUAUAUAUAUAUAUAUAUAUAUAUAUAUAUAUAUAUAUAUAUAUAUAUAUAUAUAUAUAUAUAUAUAUAUAUAUAUAUAUAUAUAUAUAUAUAUAUAUAUAUAUAUAUAUAUAUAUAUAUAUAUAUAUAUAUAUAUAUAUAUAUAUAUAUAUAUAUAUAUAUAUAUAUAUAUAUAUAUAUAUAUAUAUAUAUAUAUAUAUAUAUAUAUAUAUAUAUAUAUAUAUAUAUAUAUAUAUAUAUAUAUAUAUAUAUAUAUAUAUAUAUAUAUAUAUAUAUAUAUAUAUAUAUAUAUAUAUAUAUAUAUAUAUAUAUAUAUAUAUAUAUAUAUAUUUAUCAUUUAUAAAUGAUCAUAUUUUUAUUUUCAACUCAAUUUAUGAAAUUUUGAGAGCACGGUCUAAUGAUACUUUUAAUUAAAAUGAAAAUAUGAGACCAUGAUUAGAAUUUUAGUAAGUUAUAACAAAUACUAGAUAAAAAUUUAAUAUUUUAUUUACAAACUUAAAUAGUAUACGAUUAGAUAUUAGGUUUGAGUUUAACCUGUUCAAAAAGAUACAUUUCCAAGGUUUAUAUUUGCCAAUUUCAAUUUUUUUUACACAAAAUCCAAAUGGUCGCCAAAACAAGGUGAUUUAAAAGAAUAUCCUUAUAGGUAGUUCAUAGUUGAUUUUGAACUUUUGAUUUCACUCGACGUAAAAUUUUAAAUUCAACUUUUAAUGAAAAGGAUUUUAAAUUUGAGGGGACGGAAUUGGUUAAAAUUGUUCAAAAAUUAUGACGUGACUAUUCUAUAUCAAUUUUAUCAUAUUCAAGAUAAUCAAGUUUACCAUGUCUUAUACCCAAUCAAAGUAACUACUCAAAAUCAACACACUUGAUCAACCACAAAGGAAUCACACUAAAUUUGAGUCACUAUUUCAAGUUAUCACCAGACUUUUCGAGAUACCUAAGACCUUUCUCGAAAAAUCAUUUGAAUCCUUAUCCUUAAAUUUUUUAAGUGUGGUUUUAAAAUAAAGAUUUGAAAAUUUAUGCAUGGGUCAAGCGGAUGCUAUAAUUCGUCUAAUGUAAGUUUCGAGCUAUAAAAGGGACAUUCACAUAAAUCGAUCAAAUCAGAUGUCUCGGAAACAAACCCGGCCCUAGACUACCAAAGCCCACUAAUCAGCCCAAAUUGCUUCCCUCCUCCAACAUAAAUUGAAAAAAAACCCAAACAAAAAAAAUUGGAGGGAAAAUUUUUCAGGGAAAACAAUGAGCAGAAGACGCCACCAAAUCAUCUGUUCCUCCGACGAAGAAGAGGACGGCGACGACGAACCUCAGCAACUCGCCGGCGGCAAUGAAGAAAAUGAAAAUCCUAACAACAUAGAAAUGGAAAUUCUAGAAUCGUCUACUAACUUCGAAUCAGUAACCCUAAAUUCUCCCAUCCAAAACCCUACACCUAAUCAUGAGCCAAACAUCGACGUUUCUGAAGUUAUACGAGCUGCGGAUUGUGGUAUUGGUCGGGUAUUGGAAGGAUUAGGGUUAAGAUUGCGGAGGGAAUGGUUAGAAUCAUGUGUUGGAGGACUUGAAGGAUCAGUAGUAGGAGGGUUUUCUGGAUUGGAUGAUACGACGAAGGCAAAACUUUGUUUCGAGCAGUUUUUGUACUCGGAUAUGAAUUUUUGUGGUGCAGGAUUGCUUCCAAGGGACGUGCACAAGCUGCAUUUGGUUGAUCUUAAAGGACCCUUUGUUCUUCAGGUAUAGUAAAAAUCUAAAUGCUGAUGAAGUUUAUCGCUGUUGUGGGUUCAAUAUGUAAUUUUGUUAAAAAAAAAUUAAAGCUUUAUCGGCGAUGAGGUGCUCCCCAGCUAGUACAGGGUAGGGGAGAGUGGAAGUAAGGAAAAUUGGGAAUACCCCUCAUCUCAUACUGCUCUCUUGAUGCAAAAUCUAAAAAUUUAGGGAGGGAAACAAUACAAAAGUUAUUUACACGGAAUCCAAAGUGACAUGCUAUUAUCACUUACUCUUGAGGGCCACCAGUGCUAGAUGUUUGAUAAUUUCUCCUCCUACAUGAAUAUACAGUACGUAGUCUUUCUCUUGCAUUUUUGCAUGGAGGUUGUUUUAGUGCUUUGAAAUCGGUGAGUUACCAUGGAGCAACUUGCUGGGGUGUAGUACAUUUGCAAAACACAUUGGUGAUACUAAAAAAGCCGAAGUUGUUUGUUAAUUUGUCUUUUAUAAAUUGAAUUAGUUCGACUUUCAUGUUUGUAAAUGGAAGGCUAUGACUUGACAUCUUAGUUAAGUUUUGUUUGAAGUAACUUUAUGAAUCAUUUUAGUUGCAUUUCUUUAUAAUGGAAGUACCUAUGUGAAUCUUGACUUCAAUAACUUAUUUAGUUAUCUAAUACAUUGGUUUAUCACAAUAUAAAGCUGGAUGGAAGACAAUAUCUAAUAUGGGUAACCAAAAGGGACGGGGCUUCUUUAAAUGUGCAUUGAGGAGAAUUUAUAUAUUUUAGUUUUGUUAUGUUUUGAGGAAGAAAUUUCUUAAAGAAAGCUCAAUAUUCACAUGGAUGAGUAGCUUAUAUUAUUUUCUUGUUGAUGAAAGUAGCUCAUAAUUUCGUGAACUUCUUAGAACUAUUUGGGAAGGCAUUUCAGGAAUUGGGUUUGCUGAGAAAGAAGUUGGAAACAGGCAUCAGUUAGUUUUGAUAUUAAAGAGCUUCUAUUGUUUUCUCCUUUUUCUCCUCUUAUUUAUUUGAAACAAAGUAUAGUUUCUUCUUUGUAACAUUAAAACUUAAGUGCCAAAUCAGAAAGUUGUGGAGUGAUCAAGAAAACUUCAUUACUUUCUGCAAGCAGUUAGUCAACAGAAAAGUUCCAAAUUUAUUAAAAAAUGUUGAUCUAUCCCCUCAAAAAAGAAGCAAUCGGUGAGAAGAGGCUCAUUCAUGUUCUUGGGUUUGAAAAUCAAAGUUCAUUCGCUUAAUUUCUUUCAUAACAGUUGCUUACUGAAACCAUUUUGGAAAGGUUGGUCGUUAAAUAUGACACUUCUUGCAAUUAGCUUUAAUGUACCAGAAACUUCCUUAAAUUUGGUCAACCUAUACCUUUAAUGUGACUCUGACUAUUCGAGUGUUUCAUCCCCUUCUCCCUCAAGGUAGAUGAAAUUGUGAAUAUCAGUUGUCCUCUUCAAGAUAGGUAUCAGAAAGCAGCUGCUGGAAUAAAGAGGUGUCUGAAAUUGUCCAUGACUGAUGGCAUUCAGCAAGUGUUUGGGAUGGAGUACAGGCCUAUAAAAGAUCUCGAUGUUCUGGCUCCUUCUGGACUGAAGGUAUAUUUAAGGAGUACCAAUUAGCAAUUACCAUGUUGUUUAUUAGUUUGUCAAGUAGCUUUUAAAGUCUUAUUUACAAGAUGAGAAUUGAUAAGAAUAGUAUUUGUCACAAAACUUUUUCCAUAUUCAUAUAGAUUGCUGCUGCAUUUUGCAGGUUGCUAUCUGUAAUGUUCAUGUUAGGCAUGGAAUUCUGAUGUUGGUCCCUGAAGUUAUUGAAGUUCUGGGUGGGAUGGUGGAAGAGUUAGAAGAAGCAAGGAAGCGGCUAGUUAAUGAAAUAAAUAAGCCACCAAGGGGGAAAAGGUAUGACGAAGGACCAAGAAAACAUUUACUGUCUGGACCUAAUUACCAAAUUCUGAUAUUGUUUGUAGAUGCCUUAUACAAGUGUUGUAUUCACUUGAAUGGCAGAGGUUGAUGGUCAGUGCUAGCAUUAGAGGACCCUAACUGACUGGAUAUUGGAAUGUAAUUAAAUGAGGAUUCUAAUAGUUAACCCCAACUAACAUGGAUUAUGGUGUAGUAGUUGAUGUUUAAGUCUCUUCAGGGGGUAUUUUUAAGGGUCAAAUAGAUAUUCUGAUGGUCCUAACUUAAAGGUUAAAGUUGAGAGCUGUUUCUCUGAAUCUUAGCAAAGUAGUACUUUGUCCUCCCCCUUCCCCGUCCAUUUUGAUUUUUGACCUUCUAGUGAAGACUUAAUAUCUGUUGCUCAGUUAUAGGCUUUGGUUUACAAAUGAGUGAAUAAGGCGUAUUGUCAUGAUUUAUUAGUGUUAUGCUAGAAACAACCUCAUCACUUUUGGUGAUUUAGUUACUUCAUCUAUGCCCAAUGCCAGAACAAGGUCUGGAGUGGUUCCUCCUUUGGCAACUAGAGCUACUGGUGCUGCAUGGCCACGAGAAGGUGUUACUGUUCCAGAGCACUCUGAUACUUCCUCAAGACAAAGUAUGCAUUUUCAGGUUCAUGAACGAGGUACUUUGACACCCUAAAGAUCUUCUUUGCAAUUAGUCUAGGAUAUCUGUAUAUGUACUGCAUGUUCAUUUGUUUUUGGUGUUGCUUUCAAUGUGAAAAACAAUUUAUGUGUGCUACUUUGGCUUAUAUGGUUAAGCUGGUCUUCUGACUUUUAGUAUGAGAGAGAAGCUGAUAUUUUGUCAGAUUGCUCCCUUUUGAUGGCUUCUCUCCGCACAAGCUUGUGUUGUUUUAGGGUUUCUUACUAUAGUUUGAGUGUUAGUUUGCAGAACAUUUAUUCCACAGUGAUAUAGCUAAGGUAGUGCUACAAUUGAAAGAUUGGUUUGCAUAUUUAAAUUGGAAUAAGUUCUAGAUAUAGCUUCUUGUAUCAUCUUGUGGUGAACGGUGAUGUCCCUGGUCUUGUUCGUUGGACCACAUGUUUAUUAAUUAAAGAUUGGUAGCGGUCUACCUGUUUGACAAAAGGAAUGGAUCCCAGAAGAAUGGAUUCUAUGUAUUUGCUAAUGAUGUUACUAGCUAUUUGCCGACCCAGGUUUUGUCAUGUUCACAACCAAAGAUAAACAAUUUUGACAACAAAGGUUACCAGAAUAUUUGCCAUAUGUGUCACAAGGCAGCUUCUCUUGAUUCUUUGAGCAAAUUUGCCACAUACCCUAUUAUAUCCUCUUCAGUGCUGUUCUCCCAGUGUUAAAGUUGGUAAUUACUUGAGCUAGACUAUUCUUGUUAGCACCGUGGAUAUAUGAUUGAUACAGCUGACCUGGUUAAUUUGGAUGGAUCAUAGUUGAUUGAUUGAUUGAUUUGUUUCAGUUUCACUUGUCCUAUUCACAUGGACAAAUCUCUAUUGUUAUUAAUUGGUUUUUAUUUAUCUUUGUUGAUAACCUAAACAAACUAAGGCCGUGUAAUUUUAUUUCCUACAUCCAAAAGGAAAAACAGAAAAGAAUCUGGGUGCUGCUUGUAUCUAGAAAAAUCCUUUAGGUGAGACUUUACUCAUUAUUAAAUAUGUUUGUAUGCCAAAGGGCGGGUCACAGACGGAUUUCUCGGUUAUCAAAAAAAAAAAAAUUAAAUAUGUUUGUAUGUUUUUUGGGGGAAGGGUGUGUUUGAGGCAUCGGGGUCUGUAGGUGUCUCUGUAGAUACACCUUGCUUGUUGCUCAAUGGAUGUUGUAGGAGAAAGUAACACACGAUAUGAUUUGAUUCUAUAGAUUAAUUGUUUUCCAGUUUAAGGUGCACCAGGAACUUUAUAAAAAAAAAAAAGGUGUGUGAAAUAUGCCGGACAAGGGGAAAGGGGGUUUUACCUUUUCCACUUAUCACUCAUGGGACAUGUACUGUAAUAACAGACGUAUCUAUCUUUUAAUCUUUCUCUUUGGGGUGCAGGAACAUCUGGUAUUGCUACUUCUGCAACUGAAGAAAUUCAUCCCAUUACAUCUGGGCUACCAUCUUCUACGACAUUCACCACUCCUGUUUAUAGAAGAGAGGCUCAAUCUAAUUUUCCAUCUACUCCAGCUGUUUCUGUCCCAUUCAAUAGGAAGGUUACUGGGCCUACCUUUUCGUCUGAUGCAGCUAGUCAUGCAGAGGAUAUCCAUAUGGCUGACAUGACCACCGAAGGCAUUGAUGUUCCAAUUAGAAGGGAACAUAAUGACCCUGUUCUGUCAUCUUCUUACUCCAUGGAAGUGGAGGAACUUCUGUCAGAUGUUAGAAGUGACCCUGCCACACCUGCCAGUAGCAGGAGCAGAGGAAGCGUCCGUGUCUCUGGCGGUAGUGUCCAUAAUGAAGAUGUAACACCAGAUACAAUGUCUACUGCAGCAAUUGACAUUGAUGAAAUUGAUUUGGUUGAUGAAUUGGACCAUCCAUAUAUACUUUCUGGAGGGAAGGAAAACCCUUUCACUUACUUAGCUAGUCUGUCAGCUAAGCAGGCUGGUAUGAAUGGCAGUGCUUCCACUGUUACAGGAAAAAUUAAGGUAACUUUUGCUCUCCCUCAUGAUAUCAACUUCUCUGAUGCUGCCAUAUUGAGAAUUCACUGUGCCCCCUCUAUCUUAUCCUUAGUAAUUGGGUCUUCUUUCCACUUGGCUGUAAUUUGUAUGGGUCAAUUGGAGAUACUGGCAAGCAGAAUAAUCUCAAUAAAUUAAUCUAAUGAAGAUAGAAGACUGAAAUUCCAAUGGCAAAUUGCUCAAGUAGGAAUGGAUUUUUUCUUAAGCCAAUGGCAAAUUGCGAAAAACCCCAUUACUGGCAUGCCUCUUCCUAGCAGCGUACUUUUAUGCAUAUCUGGUUCAUUUGCUAUCAUUGUGCCUUGUCUUGACUUUUGUGCAUUUAGCGUUGGUAAUUAGCCAUUGCGAUUAAGAUUAUUUUAAUAUCGUGUUUUGUCAUUCACAAUACAAAACAGUGAACUCUAUUGUUUUUGUUUUUUAGUGCAAAAAGUUGGGAUUACGGAGUAGAAUUAUCUAUCAUGUUAAUAAGAAACUGAUAUCUGCCUUAAAUCUGCAGUGCUUUCUUACUGGUGUGAAGGGCUUUCAGUAUAAACAGAGUAGUAAAUACGAGCUUCGAGUUUAUGUUGAUGAUGGCAGCCUAAUCUCUGAGAUCCUUAUAGAUCAUGCUGUAAGUUAUUGAAGACUGGACCCUGACUGUCAGAAUCUGGUUAUUGUUUAACUUUUGUCUGCUUCAGCUUGUGCAGAAAAAAAUAGGCUUUUCUCCUGCAGAGGUAAAUGCUGCUCUUAGUUCUUCAGAUAGCAAACGAGUCAGUGACACGAAGGAGACACUGAAAUGUUUCCAGAAAUUCUUGAUUAAUUUUGAGGUAUUUCACUGCUAUCCAUGAAGGGAAUUUUGUUGAUAGAAAACUCAUGAAUCUUCUAAGUUCAUAUUUGUUUGUUGGAUCAGUGCAACUACAUCUCUCCAAGUGAAAAAUAUGUGUCCAGGAAUAGGUCUUAAUGGCAUGACUAUGCAUGUGUUUGAUGAAUAAACUGUGUCAACCCCAAAUUAUUAAUCCUUUUAUAAAUCACAAGUACAUGAAUCAUGAAAAAAUAAUAGAAUACAAAUGAUUAUUUCUAUGAUUAAGAUCCUCGUAAAAUUAGUUCUUCAUAAAUAUGCUCUGUGCAUGAAAAUGUCUUGGGCAAUGUGUCUUGCAGGGAACAAUGCUUGUUCAUUUGAAUGAAGAAUCUCCAAUUCCAGUUGCUACUGAAAUGAACCAGGGGUGUUCUGCCUCUGAUGCAUGGUUGCUUCUCAAAAGACUAAAGCCUUCUACUUCUCCGCGACAACAUCAUCUUCAUCACCCAGAAACCAUCAAUUUAUCCCCUUGAUGUCUCGUUCGUUCUCUGGAGAGAUUCAAAACCACGAGAGCAAGGUGAGUUACACAUGACAUUGCUAUGGCGUAAAUGCAGAAAUAGUUCACCUUUGAUUCAAACAAUGAAAUGACUUCUCAAAUUGCAUAGCCAGGGUGUAUGAGGGGGGUCCAUCCUAACCUUCUUCCUCGGAAAAUUACAAUGUACAUAUAAGGUCAAUUAGCUAGAUUCAUUUUGUUUUUCUGUUAUUCGUCUUUUUUCUCUUGAAGAUUUAAGAAUUUUAAUUACUAUAUAUUAACUAGAAAUUCUUUUCGAACAUAGAUUUUGAAGUCUAUUUGAUAUAUUUAGUUCCUUUUUUCCCCUUCCCUUUUCUUGAUAAUUACUUUCAAUUUGAUCGUGUAGCUAUUCUUCUUUUAUCUUAAACAAUGUAAUUUUGAAAUCCUUAAUUGAAUUAUAAUGUCCAUUGUACAAUACAUUUAUUACUUCUUCCAGUCCUAUUUUAAUAUAUGAUACAUUUUCCAUUUUGAGACGUCUCGUAUGUUUUCAUUCUACUAGGAGUAAUAAUAUACCUUUUCCGUUUUAAUUUGUUUGUCUAACUUUUCUUUUUAGUUUGUUAAACAAAGAAUGUAUAUCCCUUUUCGGUAACUUUUUGAUUCCAUUAAAUCAUAUACUUAAUACAUUUUCCAUUCCAUAUCAAGUCAAAAUAGGAAAAACAAAUUGAAAUAGAUAAAUAAAUAUUACUCUCUGUUCCAAUUUAUGUGGCAUUUUUCGAAUUGAGAUUCAAACAAGUUUAUUUUUUAUCGUAAAUUUUUCAUAUAUCUUUUAAUUAUUUUGAAUUGUUAAUUAUUGUGACUUAUAAUACUUUUUACGUAAUUUACAAAUAUAUAAAUUUAUGUUGUUACUUCAGUACUUAUAUUUGUGAUAAAUAACAAAUAUCUAGUGAAAUAGUUGACGUUCACAAGUUAAUUCAAUUUAAGCUUUCCAUUUUGCCUUUAAUAGUAAAAAUAUUCUUCUAGUCAAUCAUGUAUAACAUGUCUAAAAGUCUAAUAAUCAUAUAAGUAUCAUAUCACAUUUAAAACAAAUAAAAAAAAAUUAUUUAAAAAAAAAAUUAUGCUUAAUUAAAUAAGUUCAUAUGAAUCAAAACGAAAUAAAAAUAAACACUUUUGCAAAUUGAGGGAAGUGAUGAAAAGCAUGAAUUAUAGAAAGAGAAGAAAAAGUGUGGACAAAGAAACCCCCAAAAAAAUAAUAAUUGAAGCAUAGAGCUUACAAGUCGCUACGAAAUAAAAGGUAAGUCCUAUAAAUAUUUGUUGCCAACUAUUCCUUUCUAAACUCUCUCACUUCUCUCUUCAUUCUCAUAACUUUUUUCUCAUUUCCACACUUUCAAAUCUCUUACUUUCUCUCUCUAGCUUCUUGAAAAAACUAAUAUCCUUUGUCUAUACAAGAACAAUAAAAAAAGAAGAGUUUUUGGAGCUUAUUUUUCAACCCAUAUUGAUCAUUGAGGAUAUAAAAGAAAGAAAACCCCGUUAAAAAAAUUUGUGAGUUAUCUCUUUUUAUACAAAAAGUUUAUAUCUUGAAGCACGAUAACAAUAUUUCGUAUCUAUUAGUUCCUCCAAUGUUUGUUAUUGACACUUGUUGAGACAGACAAAGUAAGAAUUAUUUUUGUUAGACAAGUUAUGAAUAGUACCAAGGGAGUUGAUUGAUAUGAAUCUCUUAUUUUGUAAUGAUGCAUAUUGUUAAUUAUUAUUAAUUGUUAUGUUUCGCUUUCUAUCUCUGUAAAAGGUAAUCUUGACAUGCAAACUUUGAAACACUUAUAUUAUUUCUUACUAAUUUAAAUUCCUUUUUUUUUUUUAAUUUGUAGGAAUAUUUGAAAAGGAAAAUCUUGAUGGCCCCAAGUGGAGGAGGAGUGAAUAAAAACAACGGGACAUCAAUAUCGAGAAAUCAUAAUGGAGGAGGAGGAGGACUAGGGGCAAGACAGUUAAAAAAAGGUCCAUGGACAACAACGGAAGAUGCGAUUUUGAUGGAGUAUGUGAAGAAACACGGAGAAGGGAAUUGGAACGCGGUUCAAAGAAAUUCGGGUUUAAUGAGAUGUGGGAAGAGUUGUAGGUUAAGAUGGGCGAAUCAUUUGAGGCCUCAUCUAAAAAAAGGUGCAUUUUCUUUGGAGGAAGAAAGGCUUAUUGUGGAACUUCAUGCAAAACUUGGAAACAAAUGGGCUCGUAUGGCUGCUCAGGUUUGUUUAUUUAUUCUUCGAUAAGAAUUAAUACGAUUUUAUGGCUCUUCAUCUUCUUAUGAACGCGAUCUAAACAUUAAUUAACACAUAUAUAAAAAAAACAGAAUUCAUGAUUCAAAAUCUUGGUUCUAAUUCUUCUAUCUCUUUUUUAAAUACAAUUUGUGUCUAACUCAGACUAUAUAUUAACUAGCUGAAUUCAUUGAUUCAAAAUCUUGAUUCUCAUCUCCUUUUUCCGACACAAUUUGUGACUAACUCAGAUUAUUUGAAAAAAGUCCUUCUCAUUCAUCAUCAUCAAUCGACUGAUUAAGCGUAAAUCUGAAUUAAUCGGAUCAAUAGAUUUCAAAGAUUGUCACACAUCAACGUACAUAUCUAAUAUCAUAUUGUGUGGUACUCGUAAAUAAGCUAUAUUUACCACCAAAAUAUAUGCAAAAUCGAUUUUGAUCCAAAAAUCUUUAAACUUUUAUAAUCUUGAAUCUGUCUACGUCAACAUCACUAGAAUUGUGUUUCAUCAACUUUUUUGUACUUAUUAAUGUCAAAUGUACUAAUUAUUUCUUUUUAUUCUUAUUUUACGUACACAGCUUCCCGGUAGAACAGACAAUGAGAUCAAGAAUUAUUGGAACACGAGGCUAAAGAGAAGACAAAGAGCUGGAUUACCAAUAUACCCUCAAGACAUACAACCACAAAAUUACCAACAAGACCAAAAUCAACAACAACAUAGUACUAAUAAUAUCCCUUCACCAUUUGAUAAUCAUCAAAACUCCAAUUACAACAAUAAUUCCCCUCUUUCCCUUUUAGAUAUCUUCAAUCCUUCAACAAUGAAACCUAGUAGAAACAUUAUUCCACAUCAAUACCAAUUCAACAAUAAUCCUAGUUCUCCAUUUCUCACAAACACAAAUAAUAUCAACAACCAAGUCAAGUUUUUUCGCGACCCUCGCGUUAGCCUUUCUCUAACUUUAGCAUCAUCGAUGAAGAAUUCACAACUUUCUUCAAUGGUAGCACCCGUGCCCAAUAAUUUUAGUCAAGGUUAUUCUAGUUCAAUGCCGGUCCCACCACUUCAACACACCUAUCCAAAUUUUACCACAACUACUAGACCUUAUACCGCGAUUUCCUCAAACCCUAAUGGUUUAAUCUUAGGUAUGCGCGCCUUAGCCAAAUAAAUUUAAUUUGUUCAUAUUUGUUAAUUCAUUUCAUAUUUUCUCAAUUGUACUUGUAUUUUCACCAACAGGUAUGGGCAUAGAGCAUCGUUCAGUCCAAUCGUCUGUGCCUAGAAAUACAAGUACAUUAAGUGAUCAUGCUGAUAAUAAUUACGCGGUUAAUCAUGGAUUAUCACGAGGAAAUAGUGGAUUAUUAGAAGAUUUAUUGGAGGAAUCUCAUACUUUAACAAGAGGUGAAAAAAUUGAGGAAAAUUGUCCAAUUAAUGAAAAUGAAGAUAAUAAUAAAGGGAAAUUAAUUUGGGAAGAAUAUGGAUUAACAGAAGAAGCAGCAGAUGCAAUUUUAACUGAAGAAUCAACAUAUAAUUUUGCUCAUAAACAUUCUGAAGAUUCAAGUUCUCCCAAUUCAUCCUCAGGUAAAUUCUCCAUUAAUUUUAAAUCGGAUUUAACUUAUAUACACAUGAAAAAAUGGAAAAUUACGAUAGAGCUCUAAUUGGAAUUUAGCUUGUCGGGAAAUUACAUUGUGCAAAUAGAGUAAAUAUAUAUGAUCUUUUUUCGUUAUAUCUGAUCUGUUGAAUUUCUUUGACAUGAAGAAAAAUUCAAAUAUAGUGAUAAAGGGAUUCAAAAUUGAUUUAGGUCGUAUGUUCUAAUUACAACUGACAUUCUAGAAUUUUUUUGAAUUCCCUUAUAUAAAUUUCUGAUUCAAUGAUAGAAAAUUUCAAAAAUACCUGUCAAUAUUUCACAUUUUUAGUAUUGUAAAUUGUCAAACUAAGAAUAAUAAUAUAGAAAGUUACCUAUUGUCCUAGUUAGGUUAUCUUAAGCUAUGAUAUAUAUUAACUUAUGUAAACUUACUUAAUAUGUUUAGUCUUUUUUUUAUACCUCAUGAGUUUAAGUUCUAUAUAUUAACGAUGUAAAAAUUAUUUAUUUAAUUAAAUCAUAUUAAAAUGUAUUGAAGGUAACUCUAUUUAUAAGAAUUUAUUUCUAACCUAUUAUUGUAAAUGGUAAGUAACCUACUUAUAUAUAUUAUAACAUGCUAAAUGAGACUUGAAGUAAAAUUAUUUAUCAUGGUAUAUUACUUAUCUCCCAACACACACAAGAAAAGUUAGAAUUAACUAUUAACUUUGUCGUUGAUUUAUUUCUGAGUCUAUCAUAGUUAACAUAUUCUCUUUUCUUUUUUUUUUGGGAUAAUUUGUCGUUAAAAAGAGUUAACGAUAAAUUUUAUUAUUUAGCUACAUAAUUUGUCUGUUGCUGAUUUUUUUUUUUUUUUAAAUUGUGUAGUAAUGUUACUUUUAUUUUCUUAUAUUUAAUUCAUUUUAGAAAUUGAAUAACUUUGUAUUAAUGUUUUUUUUUUAUAUAUAUAUAUAGGGAUAACAACAAAGGAAGCUUCAUUAGAGAAUAUGGGUAAUCAAGUAGAUGAUGAUAUUAUGAGAUUUCUUGAUAAUUUUCCACUUGGUGUACCUGUUCCUGAUUGGUGUGAUGAUCAACAAAAUACAUCUAAUGGCCAAUCUUUUGAAUGUGACCAAAUUCAAUUGUCCUCAAAAUCAAGUUCAUGAAGAUUCAAAAUCGCAGAUUUGAAGUUUAUCAGUUUCUCAUACAACAAUCAGUCAAAUAGUUAUAGAUGUUUAGAAAAAUUCUUAAUACAUAGACGAGAUCUGUGUGUGGGGUACAUGUGAACCCGUAAGUUACAAGCUAGAUCCGUCUCUUUGAGGAUUAUCAAGAAUAGGAAAUUGGAGCAUGUUGUUGGAUUAACAUGCCUUUUUUUUUAGUUAAUUAAAAGUAGUCAAGACAUUUAUUUAUAUUCAUAAAUUUACCAUUAAGUAAAUAUCAAAGAUUGCAAGUUGUUAAUUCUUUUAAUUUACUUUUGCUUUAGGUUAAUAUUUAGACUGAUUAAUGAUAAUUGGUCAUUGAUCAAUUGUCUUGGCUUUAUUUGUUGUGAUGAAACAAAUAAACUUCUUGUUUGAGUAACAUGUCUAGUUUUAAGACGUGUUUAACUUUUAUAAAUCGAUAAUUUUUUUACUAUUGGGUAAUUUGUAAGAUAAUUAUCUAUAAUAAGUAAAAUUAAUAACAUGAAUAUUAAGACAAGUAAGCUCUUUGCAGCAAGUUUUGUCAUCACAAAUCAAUUUUUUUGUGAUGACUAAACUUGCUACAAAAAGCUCCGAAAAUAAUUACCACUAAUAAUGGCAAUUCUAGGAUGGUUGGUAGUAGAUGGUAGGGUUGGACAUGGUACGAUAUGUUACGGUAUUAAAAAAUUUGUUUGAUAGUUUAGGUUUUUGGUUUUUAAAAUACUAUAGUAGAGUAAUUCAGUAUGGUUCAAUAUUUUUAAGUUUGAUUUUGAAUUUUUCACGAUCGAUAUAAUAAAUAGAUAAUCAUAG
Molecule: long non-coding RNA, 21184 nt
Filed under: Solanum tuberosum (potato)
Lineage: Eukaryota; Viridiplantae; Streptophyta; Magnoliopsida; Solanales; Solanaceae
Description: long non-coding RNA (STUB_LNC011197)
Source: RNAcentral